CUUAGUGGCGGACGGGUGAGUAACGCGUGGGGAACCUGCCCUGUACAGGGGGAUAACACUUAGAAAUAGGUGCUAAUACCGCAUAGGCGCACAGUAUCGCAUGAUACAGUGUGAAAAACUCCGGUGGUACAGGAUGGACCCGCGUCUGAUUAGCUGGUUGGCGGGGUAACGGCCCACCAAGGCGACGAUCAGUAGCCGGCCUGAGAGGGUGAACGGCCACAUUGGGACUGAGACACGGCCCAAACUCCUACGGGAGGCAGCAG
This 263-nucleotide ribosomal RNA is filed under the name uncultured bacterium. Its description in RNAcentral is "partial 16S ribosomal RNA". It matches the Rfam family "Bacterial small subunit ribosomal RNA", at positions 91 to 354 of the family's 1533-position model. The record is from RNAcentral.